GUACACACCGCCCGUCAAGCCACGAAAGUGGGGGCACCCGAAGUCGCCGAGCUAACUCGCAAGAGAGGCAAGCGCCGAAGGUGACCUUCGCGAUUGGGACUAAGUCGUAACAAGGUAGCCGUAGGUGAACCUGCAGAAGGAUCA
This 144-nucleotide ribosomal RNA is filed under the name uncultured eukaryote. Its description in RNAcentral is "partial small subunit ribosomal RNA". It matches the Rfam family "Bacterial small subunit ribosomal RNA", at positions 1383 to 1525 of the family's 1533-position model. The record is from RNAcentral.